GGGAGGUAGAGCCAAGUCCCCUACUACUCCCGGACCUGAGAGCGUGGCACCGCCAGGAGGCUUUCCUUGGCCCGCAGAGUCAGGUGGGAGCAGCUGUGGACUCUUGCUGGGACUUCGAGCGUGGCGCCCUCCCCACAUCAGGCCUCGGUUUCCCCAUGUGUUCAGCAGCUGCUGUGUGUGCAGGGCAGAGGUUCUGAGGAAAACCGUGAGGCUGCAGGCUCAGCCCAGGAUGAUCCCAGCUCAAGGAUGAGAAGUGGAUGAAGGUCUGGGGUCUUGGGCCUGGUUUUCCUUUCAGCCACAAAAUAGGGCUCAUUUUGAGCUCUGGGCAGGUCGCCCAGGCAAGGCGGCCACUGACCGCCUGCCAUUCUCCAGCAGCUCCUCCCGUCUGCAAGUUGCAUUACCUCAUCAGGAAGCCAUUCCGGAAAGGAGCUGCAGAGUCCCAAGAGUGGGAGUGAAGAGGGCUUCCCAAGAGCCUCCUGACCACCCAGGAGCCCAGCCAGGGCAGACAGCAUAGCCCCGGUGGUGUUUGCCAGUGACCGCUGCAGCAGGGAGGUGCCCAGGCAGGAGGGACUGUCCGGCCUGAAGCCAGCAGCUUCCAGUAGUUCUCAGGCUCGUCUUCUGAGGCUGGAGGACCAGCAAUGGGUGAGGUGGACACCAGCACCGCCUCUGUGGACUUUACAAGGUGCUCAGACUUCAUUGGCUCAUCCCUUCAAGCUUCAGUGAACAGUAAGCAACAGCCAAUAUUGUGGAUGCCAAAGGGUGGGAAGUAAGUCUUGACCUGUGCAACUGUGUCCUCAUGCGAAAGAACUGUAUAAAAUGCUAUGACCAAGGCAAUUUAUAAAAGAAAGCAUUUCAUUGGGCUUACAGUUUCAGAGGGUUAGAGUUCAUGAUGAUGGAGCAAAGGCAUGAUGGAAAUCACAAGCAGGAAGCAGAGAGCACACUGGACUGACAUGAGUCUUUGGGAACCUCCAACAUACCUCCAACAAAGCCACACCUCCCAAUCCUUCCCAAACAGUUCCACCAACUGAGAAUCAAAUAUUCAAGCAUAUGAGCCCAUGGGGGCCAUUCACAAUCAAACCACUGCAAGGACCAAGAGGGUUACUUAGGUCCAGGAAUUACUAUUGACUGGCUCCUCUAGCCAUCUCUACAUCCUUAGGCUUUGUUGAAUGUGAGGUUCCAGUUCUAGCAGGGGGAUUUAUCUACCAGGUUAUAGUCAGUCCACUCAUCUGAGGUCCCAACUACAGCCACACAGAUGUGUCUCGUGUGCUCAAUUCCACUAUAGAUGACAAAAGAUGAGCUUCGAAUUUAGAUAACCUUAAGUGUCAUGAGGAAAGCACACACUCUGAUGUGACAGGGGUGUCUAGUCCACAAUGUCUCUUGAUCAUCCUGGCCUCCUGGUUCUUGCAAUGAGAGAGGCAGAAACGAAAAUCAACACAUAGGAUGCUGAGCCUGAUUCUCAAGAAGAGCUGGGCUUGUGGGCAGGGAUGAGUCAGACACAGAACCAGGAACUCACACCAGUGCCUCUUGUUUUCAGCAUAGUGAUAGGUAUGAGCAACCAUGGGUAGCCAAAGUAAUGAGACAGAGAGCUCAGCAUCCCCGAGACAGAGAACCGGGGCCCCACAGCCCAGUCAACAGACAAGAUCCCUAUGUGAUAAGGGGGGGCAGAGUCCUGCAGCUCAGCCAUUAGAUUGACUCUUCCUGGAAUAAAGGGACAGGCACCCACAACCACUCCCCCAGAACAACUGAGCUGCUUGUCUGGAAUAUAUGGUGUCCAUCACGGCCUCUGAUCUGGUGUCAUCAUGGGAACUCUAGCUGCUGGUCACUACCUCCAAGGUGGCACAGUGCCUCCCAGAGGCACAAGCAGAUAAGACUGAUGAAGGAAGUGGCUUGCAGUGGACAGCUCAUGCUCACUUAGGCCUUUCGAUCCCAACCCAGCUACAACCUCCACAAUCAGUCCCACAGGGACUUUAGCUAGUGAGGGCCGAGUGCAACUAGACUUUCUUCCCUUGGGCCUAUGGUGGCCAUCUCUGACUUCCCGUCCUGGUGACCCUCCAAAGACAAAACUGAAAUGCUGGUAGGAUCUACACUGCACUUAGACUCACCCAGCAUGGAACUGUAGGGAUGUCAAUGUGUAUGUACAUGUGUUCAUGUAUGUGUUUACAUGUGUUCAUGUAUGUGUAUGUCAACAUCAGUGUAUUCUUCAAUCUCUCUCCACCUACUUUUUUGAGACAGCAUCUCCUACUGAACCCAUAGCUUUUAGUUUAGCUAAAUUAACUGGAUAGCAAAUCACUAGUAUCCUCCUGUGUCUGCCUCCUCAGGGGUAGGAUUACAGGCACAAACUACCAUACCCCCAUUGGUAUUUGUUUGUUUGCUUUGUAUGUGGAUAUAUGUAUGUAGGUGUGUGCAGACUUCAAAAGGUAUCAGAUCUCCUGAAGCUGGAGUUAGAGUCAGCCAUAUAGGCACAGGAGUUGGGAAACAGACUUGGGUCCCCUGGGAGAAAUUUUAACCUCUGAGCUGUCUCUCUACCCUCCCCCAUCCCCAGCUUUUUACAUGGGUUCUGGGGACCUGAAUUCAAGCCCUCAUGUUUCUGUGGCCAACACUUUGCUGACUAAACCAUUUCUUCAACUCCUUAAGUUGCUUUUUGCUGGAUGUUUGGACAGAGAGAUGAUUAAAAAUAACCAAUAUAAGGGGUAAUCCUCCUGCCUCAGGGACUGACCUAAUAAAGCAUCCUUGAUUUGGUUUUCCUUGGACUCUCACCCCUGACCAAAAGCCCAAAGGCUAGUCUGUCUCAAGCUGUGCUUCCAAGGAAAGAUGUCUAAGGUGUGUGCCAUCCUAGAAACAACAGGAAAUGAAAACUGUCAUCAGUGUUGGGAAGGGAUGGUCUUGAACUUGUACCUGUGCUGUUCAGUAGGGUAGCUAUUGGCCAGGCCAUAGGUGGACUUCAGUGUGAUGGUGAUUUACAUUAAGGUAAAAUGAGGGUGGAGGGGAUGGCUCAGCAGGAAAGCACUUAUCACACAAGCCUGAUGACCUGAGAUCGAUGGCCUGGAGCCCAUGCACAAAGCUGGAUGUCGUGGCAUGCAUCUGUAAUCCCAACACCCCUGGUAAGCUGGGAAGCAGAGACGAACAUAACCGGGAAGCUCUGGAGUCAGCCAGGCUGGAGUGUAGCCUAGAAGCAGGAAGACAGGAGAGACCCUGCCUCAGUCGACUCUGUAAAGUUGUCAUCUGACAUCUACAUGUGCACUCUGGCCCACGAGUACACACAUACACCAUUUCCAUUCCCAAUCUUUGCUCUUCCCUCCCCUAUUCCCCCCUCUCUCACACACACACUCACUCACACACACACACACACACACACACACACAAAUUUUGGUUAAAAGUGAAAUGAAAUAAGAUAAAAAAUUAAUUUCCCUGGUCAUACAUUUCAUGGAUUUAGUAGUCAUAUGAGCUGAUAGUGGCUGCUUUGGGGGCAGCAAAAAGAGCAUUUGGGUCACCACAAAACACUCUUCUGGAUAAGUUGCUCUGGACUAUUUGGACCAGUGCCUGUUGCUUCAUGCUGGAUUGCAAAUACUAGAGUCACUAUCUGUCAAGUUUGAUUCUCUGUCCCCUGAAAGGGGCACAGAUGCCAGAUAGGAAGUACAGAUACUAGGAAGAAGGAAGGGAAAAGGAGACUGGCAUCUGACUGUGUGUUAGGUAGCUGUUGGCAUUUGCGGAACACUUACUGCAUGCCUGAUGCCAUCCCAGACCCUCACCCUGUUGCCUACUAGUUCCUCACCAAGCUAUGGCUGUCAUCUGAGUCUACAGAGGAGUAAAUCAAAGCUGGGGAGGUGAGCCACUUGCCUAGGGCUAAUCACGGUUCACUAGCUACAGCACUGGUUUCUUAGUCUUUCCUGACAAGGGCAAAACAUUGUGUCCAUGCUUCCUGCACUCUCUCCUGGAUAGGAGAGGCUCCCAGGCCUUGCUGCUGUUACCCCUGGGACAACUGAGCCAGAGACCCAGGCCUAUGGUGUGGCAGCUAAGGGAGAUGUCAUGCCGUUGCCUCCAUAAGGCUCGCCAGUGGUGUCAAAGACCCAAAGUGUUACGUGAACUGGUCCAGAUGAACCAGCCUGUCAACACACUGAGGGCUUGAGCGACCAACCCCCUAACCAUGCUUGGGGGAUGCUUUUCAGUUCUAGACAGGUUGCAACAUGUGUCCAGCCACACUGGGGCUCCCUGUUGCUUUGAUGCUGUGCCUACUGUGAGCACUCAGCCUGGCACCUGAACCAAUCAGGCACACAGCAGUCCCUACACAGACUAUGCUCUAUACGCCAGCUAUGUUGGAUGUCACAAGGACACAGACAGAAUCGUGCUCGCAACUGCUGUGCCGUUCACCGGACUCUGGCUUUGGGAAUCAGAAUCACACCGCCUGUCUCCCAAGAGGCCAAAUGCUCCUCAAAGCUGAGACUCUUGAGAUUGAACUCAUGUCUCCAGGGAAGCAAGCCACUCACCUGUCCCUUUUGCUUUCUGUCUCCUAUCCCAAACUUGUCCUGUCCCUGAGCCCCACAGACCCUUGUUAGCACUGCUGGGGAUGGAAGCUAGGGCCUUGCCAGAGCCCAGUGCUGACUCCACACAGGCUCCAUCCAUGAUGUCAGGACCACUGGAGUCCUCAGAAUCUAUGCGAUGUCCUGGGUCACAUAACCCAGCUCCUCCUCAUGUGAGAUCUCCAGGCAUCCAAGCGCCCAAUCCCUGUGCUAGGGUUAGAGGUAGGGUUAGGGCUGACUUUAGGUUAGGACUACGUUUGGAGUUUAUUUUAGCAUUAAGACUAGGGUUAGAGCCAAUGUUUGGGUCAUGUUCAGGGCUUUGUUUUGUUCUGGGGUUGAGGUUAUGGAUAGGGUUAGAGCUAGGUUUAUGUAAUGGUUAUGGUUAGCACUAGGGUUGGGAUUAUGAUUGAUGCCUGGGCUAAGGUUAUGGCUAGGAUUGUUGUGUGGUUAGUUGUAGGUUUAAGGUAAGGUUAGAGGUAGUCCUAGGAUUAGCAUUGGGUCUAAACUUACACCUAGAGCUCAGGGAUUAUGAUUAUGGUCACAGCAAAGGUUAGGAUUAGAACUGAAUUUAGGAAUAGUGCCUGAUGCAGCAUUGUGGUGUGAGAUACAUUUGGUUUAUGGUUAGUCUUAGUCCUAGUUUUAGUGUGUGGGCUAGAUGUAGGAUUAGGGUUAUGGUUUUGGGUAGGGUCUGAUUAGGGUCAUUGUAGUGUUAGGGUUAGGACUAAGCUUAGGUUUGGGAUUGGGUUUGUGCAGUGUUCCCUUUCCUACAGAUCCUCUUUUCACAAGUACUCCUCCUUCCUCUAGAAUGCUCGCUGUGCUCCCUUGCAGUUUCCCCUCAGAUGGAGCAUCCUCAGUUCUCUUCUAUCUUGGUGGAAUUUACUGACCCUUGCAGGAAAAUUCCUGGGCCAUCCAUCCAGUGCUGGCCACACUCCCCACCGCACCAUGCCUCCUCAGCUCACUAGCUGCCCUUGUCCAUUCCUCUCCACCUCUUCUGCCCCUUCGCAAAGCCUGAACCCGCCAAGGGCCAUGCCCACACAUGAGUCUUUCAUAAUCCCUGGCCCCAAGGAUACCUCAGCAAAUCAUCUACAGGAAGCCAGGACACAAUGCCCUCACUAAGGUGACCUGACAUGUGCAAUCCCGUCCCUAGAAGCUCGUAGGGCCAUGUGUGGUGCACGCCUUUAAUCCCAGCACUUGUGUGGCAGAAGCAGGCAGAUCUCUGACUUUAAGGCCAGUCUGGUCUACAUAGAGAUUCUCAGGUCAGCUAGAGUCAGAUAAUGGGGCCCUGGAUGGCAGUUUGAAUGAGGAUGGUCCCAAUAGGCUCAUAUGUUUGAAUUCUUGGUCCCAAAUUGGUGGAACUCUUUGGGAAGGAUUAGAAGGUGUGGCCUUGUUGGAGGAGGUGUGUCACUGGGGGGUGGGCUUAAGGUUUCAAAAGCCCCUUGCCAUUCCCAGUGUGCUCUGUGCCUGAUGACCAUGGUUUUGAAAUGUGAGCUCUUAGCCUUGAAUCUCACACCCUCACUCACCAUCAUGGACUCUAACCCUCUGAAGCCAUAAGCCCCAAAUAAACUCUUUUAUACAUG
Mesocricetus auratus (golden hamster) is the source of this 6094-nucleotide long non-coding RNA. RefSeq lists it as uncharacterized. NCBI's taxonomy places the organism in Eukaryota, Metazoa, Chordata, Mammalia, Rodentia, Cricetidae. The record is from RefSeq and is a predicted model, not a curated record. The transcript is spliced from 3 exons.